UUUUUUUUUUUUUUUUUUGUAGAGUCAGAUUAAAAUUAUAGAUUAAAAAUAUGUGUUUAAAUAACUAAAGUUUAAUGUAGAUGUGCAUAGUUAUGGGCAGAGUUAUUUUGAACAAGUCAGUGAGAAUGCAGGUAUAUAACAUUGCCUAAAUAAUUUUCUCUGUUAAAAUGUUUACUGUAAAAACAAUUUUAAAUUCAGAACAAAUCAGAACACAUAGCUCUCCCAGUCCUGAGUCAUUUUGAAACUGACAACACUUAGGAUUUGAAAACCCAGCCAAAAGACAGAUUGGGACUUGAACCCAGUUUUCUAAUUAGAAUCACUGGUGUCUGGACUCACUGAAGUUCUUUUUUUUCUUCCUUAGGGCCGCACUUGCAGCAUAUGGAGGUUCCCAGGCUAGGGGUCUAAUUGGAGCUGUAGCUGCCCGCCUACGCCAGAGCCACAGCAACUCGGGAUCCGAGCCGAGUCUGCGACCUACACCACAGCUCACAGCAGUGCGGGAUCCUUAACCCACUGAGUGAGGCCAGGGAUCGAACCCGCAACCUCAUGGUUCCUAGUUGGAUUUGUUUCUGCUGCCCCACAACAGGAACUCCCCAUAAACUAUUUUAAAUAAAGCUAUUAGUCCGUAUCAUUAUUCUAUAAACAUUUUCAUUUGCGCAUAUUAUACAUGUUUUUAAUUUAUAACAGUUCAUCAUUUAGAAUUUCCCCAUGUCUUGCCCUUGUAACUACCAAAAAUAACUUUGCAUUGAAGACCUUCGCAUGCUUCAUUUUUUUGCUUCUUUUGAAUAACUCACAUCGGCUAGAGUUCCAGAAGUGGUGUUAACGGGAUUAAACAAAAAGAGGCCCUGUUUCUUUGUACUUGUUUCCACUUGGCUUUCCAACAAGGCUUAUCCUACUUUUACGCUGGGCAUGUUUGCGUCACCAGCGUGAUUGCAGCCUUGCUGUCAGAGUAUUACCCAUGCUGCAUCCAUGUCUUUUGUCCUUCUUAUUACAUCAACGGGUAAAUGAGUAUCUCAUCAGUCAGGCUAGCCGCCAGGCCAGACCUCAGCUCCUUUCUCUCUCUCCUUGUGCUCGGUGGCCGCCGUGGACGGCAUCACUCAGAUCUCCCUUGAGGAGCGCUGCUUUGACGGGGCAGGUGGUGGAGAGCCUCCAGCUGUCGUGUUUCCAGAGCUGCAGUGGUGUUCACCCCAAGGCCAUGUUCUCCAGGGGCUGCUCCCAGCUGGUGACUGAACCAGGUGGGAUUCAAGAGCCUGGCCAGCGCUGCCCUGGGUGGGGCUCCUCUGAAGAGCAGUUCCUGUUCUGGGCCUCUCUGCAGGCCUGGCUGAGACUUUCUUAGAUCUGCAGCCUCAGGCUUCUUCUACUACCCAAUUCUCCCUCUUCUUUCCUUCCUUCCUCCCUCUCUCCCUCCCUCCCUCGGUUCCUUGCCACACCCACGGCAGGCAGAAGUUCCUGCGCCAGGGAUCGAACCCGUGCCACAGCAGUGACCCAAGCUGCUGCAGUGACAGCACUGGAUCCUUAACCUGCUGCACCAUGAGGGAACUCCUGUCGAUCUCUCCUUUUAUAGGUAUCACACCAGCAUCACAGUCUGAAGCCUCUCCCUGCCUGCUCUUGCCGACUCCUGCUCCCUCUCACCUUCUUCCAUCCCGGAUAAAUCCAUUUCCCCUCGUAAAUCUUUGCAAGUCUAAUUCUGUCUUGGCAUAGUCUCUUGGAAGACCCAGGCUGACACAUACCCCACAGAUGAGUCCCCAUGGCAGUCAUUCCUCUAGGCUAGAUACGCACUCCGAACUAUUUAUUGAGUGAAUGACGGAGUGAUAUAAAAAACAGGAGCUUUGAGGUUGGUCACAACUUGAAGCCCCAGAAGGAGGAUGCCCCCAUAAUUUAUGGGGAAGUGAUAGUAUUUUGAAUCUUUGGAGAUGACAGGGAUUAUUUUUUUGCCGUGUCGUUUUACUUCUGGGUUUGGCUGGCGGUGCCCGUUCUGCAUGGCUUCUUAGGUCUGUGGACAGGUGGUGGCACCAUGGGCUCUGGUAUGAAGAAGUCUUUGACACAACAUUGUUUGUUCCUGUCACACGUGAACAUGGUUUUCUCCCGGGGGCCACAGUGCAUCCUGCAGUGUCCUGGGACCUUGUGCCCACAACUUGUCCCACCCCCACUGGCUGCAAGGAAGGGGAAAACAUGGAAAACUCAAGGUUAGCAACAAUCUAGGGAUGGCUGUGCGGCUGGGGCUUUUUAUUCUCAGAUGUGAGCUUGAGAAAUCAUGCAAAUGAAGGUUGAGAAAGACUUUGAACAGGCGACAGAACCCCCCCUCCGGCCCCCACCCGCUGGACGGCCCUGGUAACACUGAGGAGCUCUUUGUCUUUGCCAGUAUCUGCAUCUUUGCAGCCAGCUAAGAACUGUAAUGUUGCUAUCGUGGGUACCCACAAAAUGUGUGGAUUGAAAAUACAGGCUGGGAAGCCUCCCUUCACUGUCAGGGAGGAGCUUGAACACUUGAAAGGGGAAUUAGAGCUAUUCUUUUUUUUGUUUGUUUGUUUUCCUUUUUAGGGCUGAACCUGUAGCACAAGGAAGUUCCCCUGCUAGGGGUUGAAUUCACGCUGCACCUGCUACAGCCACAGCAACGCCAGAACCAUACCUUGUCUUCGAGCUACACUGCAGCUUGCUGCUGCGCCAGACCCUUAACCCACUGGAGUGGGGCUGGGGAUCGAACCUGCAUCCUUAUGGACACUAGUUUGAUUUGUUACCACUGAGCCACAGCAGGAACUCCCGGAAUUAGGGCUAUUCUUACUCAUCCUGCAUCCUCUCCUUUUAAUGGGGUUUCUGCUGCAUUUGUUCUCAGGGAAUAUAAAACUGUAAAGGUCAGUCAACCCAGGGCAAAAAAAAAAAAAAAAAAAAAAAA
RNAcentral lists this long non-coding RNA (2887 nucleotides) under Sus scrofa (pig). RNAcentral's name for it is "lncRNA (ENSSSCG00055008160.1)". The record is from RNAcentral. Lineage: Eukaryota; Metazoa; Chordata; Mammalia; Artiodactyla; Suidae.